This 231-nucleotide long non-coding RNA is filed under the name Lathyrus oleraceus (garden pea). RNAcentral describes it as "Pisum sativum (pea) long non-coding RNA (PSAT_LNC017177)". Lineage: Eukaryota; Viridiplantae; Streptophyta; Magnoliopsida; Fabales; Fabaceae. The record is from RNAcentral.
GAAGAGUAUGUAUAAGGAGUUAUGAGUGUGAGAGGUUAUGAGUUCAAAUCCCACCUUUCUCACUUUUAAGUUAUUUUUUCUCUUUUAUUUAUUUUUCUUUAAUUCUAACUUUUCUAUUUUUAAAACUACAAAAAAAAUCACAAAAUUACAUUAUUUAUUUUUUAUUAUUAAUUUUCGUAUUUAUAAAAUAGGCAUUUUUAAAAAUAAAAAAAAUCGUUUUUUUAACUUUUU